AAGGGAAUGCAUCCCAUCAUCUGGAUAGAGCACAGUAUAUGGAUAUUUGUUCUUGGAACAGGAUGGCAGAUUUGGUCCUUUAUCAUUCUAGAGGGGUCUUUCAGUGGGGUCCCUGUGAGAAAAAUGUCGGGGUUUAGAAAGUAUAGCUGCAGUGAAGAGUAACUGGAAUGCAACCACUGUCUGGCAAUAUCAUGGGCACCAGCACAUUUCUUGACAAAGUGCAGAGCCAGCCAUAUACAUCAGCUGAUGACAUGUAAAGGUUGUCUCCCAGGUUGAUGGAAUCACUUCUCACACCUGCAAUAUGAAUGUGCCAUAUACUUCAGCCUAUGACAGGCUGGCAACAGGAGUCAGGUUUCACUCCUUCUGAAACUGCAGGAAAGUGACGGGAUCUUAUCAGAGAAAGGGACUCUUACAUUUGUCUUGCAAAGAAGAAGGAAAGUUAUAUUGAAAAGAAUGACCAUGACAAGACUUUAAAAGGAAUGGGCUGGAUUCUUUUCUGUAUCUCUACUGGCUC
Molecule: long non-coding RNA, 514 nt
Organism: Pezoporus flaviventris
Lineage: Eukaryota; Metazoa; Chordata; Aves; Psittaciformes; Psittacidae
Exons: 3
Source: RefSeq, a predicted model, not a curated record